Molecule: ribosomal RNA, 253 nt
Filed under: uncultured bacterium
Lineage: Bacteria
Description: partial 16S ribosomal RNA
Rfam family: Bacterial small subunit ribosomal RNA
Source: RNAcentral
UACGUAGGGGGCAAGCGUUGUCCGGAUUUAUUGGGCGUAAAGAGCGUGUAGGCGGUUAGGUAGGUCCGUUGUGAAAACUCGAGGCUCAACCUCGAGACGCCGAUGGAAACCAUCUAACUAGAGUCCGGAAGAGGAGAGUGGAAUUCCUGGUGUAGCGGUGAAAUGCGCAGAUAUCAGGAAGAACACCCGUGGCUAAGGCGGCUCUCUAGUACGGUACUGACGCUGAGACGCGAAAGCGUGGGGAGCGAACAGG